Molecule: ribosomal RNA, 142 nt
Filed under: uncultured eukaryote
Lineage: Eukaryota
Description: partial 18S ribosomal RNA
Rfam family: Eukaryotic small subunit ribosomal RNA
Source: RNAcentral
UGGUGGAGUGAUUUGUCUGGUUAAUUCCGUUAAUGAACGAGACCGCCGCCUGCUAAAUAGUUCUACCAAUGGUUUUUCAUUGGUAAGAGCUUCUUAGAGGGACGUUCAUUCUACAAGAUGAAGGAAGAUGGCGGCAAUAACA